RNAcentral lists this transfer RNA (59 nucleotides) under Apaloderma vittatum (bar-tailed trogon). The record is from Rfam by way of RNAcentral. Lineage: Eukaryota; Metazoa; Chordata; Aves; Trogoniformes; Trogonidae.
UAGCUCAGUGGGUUGCAGCGUGGUGCUGAUAAUAUCAAGGUCACGGGUUCGAUCCCCGU